This 79-nucleotide microRNA precursor is filed under the name Astyanax mexicanus (Mexican tetra). Its description in RNAcentral is "mir-27 microRNA precursor family". It matches the Rfam family "mir-27 microRNA precursor family". Lineage: Eukaryota; Metazoa; Chordata; Actinopteri; Characiformes; Acestrorhamphidae. The record is from Rfam by way of RNAcentral.
UUGAGGAGCAGGACUUGGCUCGCUUUGUGAACAGAUCCGGGACAGGCCGUGUUCACAGUGGCUAAGUUCCGCUCCUCUG